Molecule: ribosomal RNA, 233 nt
Filed under: uncultured bacterium
Lineage: Bacteria
Description: partial 16S ribosomal RNA
Rfam family: Bacterial small subunit ribosomal RNA
Source: RNAcentral
GGACUCCUACGGGGCGCAGCAGUAGGGAAUCUUCCACAAUGGACGAAAGUCUGAUGGAGCAACGCCGCGUGAGUGAAGAAGGGUUUCGGCUCGUAAAGCUCUGUUGGUAGUGAAGAAAGAUAGAGGUAGUAACUGGCCUUUAUUUGACGGUAAUUACUUAGAAAGUCACGGCUAACUACGUGCCAGCAGCCGCGGUAAUACGUAGGUUGCAAGCGUUGUCCGGAUUUAUUGGG